RNAcentral lists this long non-coding RNA (614 nucleotides) under Oryza sativa (Asian cultivated rice). RNAcentral's name for it is "long non-coding RNA (OSAT_LNC000917)". Lineage: Eukaryota; Viridiplantae; Streptophyta; Magnoliopsida; Poales; Poaceae. The record is from RNAcentral.
CCCUGCAUACAUACAUCCAGAAAACAAAGGAAACUUUAGAUUGAUAUGUGUGGAAAAAUAUUAAGUGAAGUUUUGAUGAAUUAGCUAGGAGGAGGUAGAUUAGGGAAUUCGAUUUCACUACUUCACCUUGAGGAUUUGGUUGAUGAUGUAGUAACUAAUGAUGAAUUACUUGGUGAUGGCGUAGAUGGCGUAGAUGAUGCCGGGGAUGUAGCCGAGGAAGGUGAGCAACAGGCAGAUCCAGAACUCAUGCUGCAUAUAUAUGUGCAAGUUAAUUAGCAAGAGCAAAUCGAUCGACCAAAUUAAGCAAAAGGCAUGGAAGAAACUAAGGUAACAGAGAGUAAUUUAAUUAGGUACUCCAUAAUUACCCCGCAUCCGAACUUGAGGAAGACGCCGAGGGGCGGGAGGAUGAUGGCGAUGAGGAUGUCGAUGCAGUUCGCCGUUCCCGCCAUCUCUCCUCGAUCAAAAAUUGAUAGUAGAUGAACACUCUACUGAUUAAUUUCUCUCGCAGUAUUACCAACAGCAACAAGAACAAGAAGAAGCAGAAGCAAAAUAGCUGCAAAGUAAAGUAGCAGUGGGCAACUCUGAACUGCAACUGAUGAACUGACUGGCUUUGG